UCAGCAGCAAUUCAUUCAAGGGUUCAUCCAACAAUCAACCUCAAAGAUCAAAAAUCAAGAAAAGAGGAAAGAAAAUGAGCGGUGGCUUCUAGUAUAGCACUGUUCCAGCAUGCAAGGUAAACUUUCAAUAAAAAUAAGAAAAAGGGUAUUAUCCAAAAACAAUUCAAGCGUAAACAACAGCUGCUUCCAGGCAAAGAUGAAUAUGCGCUUUUCUUUUUUUUUUAUAACCGUGAGAGCUGCAACCAAAAUCUCUAUCCCACAUCACCCUCCAUAUUCUCUCCAAGUGCUGAAAGUGUCUCUCCAACCUCGUAGUUCGGCUGACUCCCUAGUGAGCAAUGCAACAGUUGCAACUCCUAGGGUUGCGUGUCCCCCCAAAGCUAGGUCUGGACCGUGAGGAAUUGCUGGACGCACACUCCCUCGUUCCUGCAGCUGCGUAAGUGAAUUUAGUUGCUGGCCCGUGAUGCUCUUCAAAGGUGGGCUGCUGCGCUGGAUCAGACCGUGUAGUGUAGAGUUGCUGCAAUGUGGAAGCUGCUGAGCCCAAUUAUCGCAUGAAGAUGCAGGACCACUGGUUUCAAGCUGCUGGAGCGUGGAGUUCUUGUUGAUGCUGCUUUACUUCAAGCACCUCCCGGACACGUGAAGGCUACUGCACCUCAAAGCUGUUUGCAAUGUGCUGCCAAGCUGCUGUGUGCACCUCAUUAUGCUCUGGACCAGGCCUUGCUUGAAGCUCCCUCCUUUGCUGUCAGCGUGGUGCGUGAAGAAGGUAAGAUGCGUGGUACAGCAGUGUGCUUGGGCCGUGAAGAUUGAAGAUGUGUUGCUGGAUCGUGGAGCUGAUGCUUGGGCCGAGAGGUGGAUCAAUG
This 857-nucleotide long non-coding RNA is filed under the name Vigna radiata. RNAcentral describes it as "long non-coding RNA (VRAD_LNC017765)". Lineage: Eukaryota; Viridiplantae; Streptophyta; Magnoliopsida; Fabales; Fabaceae. The record is from RNAcentral.